This 120-nucleotide ribosomal RNA is filed under the name uncultured bacterium. RNAcentral's name for it is "partial 16S ribosomal RNA". It matches the Rfam family "Bacterial small subunit ribosomal RNA", at positions 28 to 146 of the family's 1533-position model. The record is from RNAcentral.
GACGAACGCUGGCGGCGUGCUUAACACAUGCAAGUCGAGCGAGGCCUUUCCUUCGGGGGAGUGUUCUAGCGGCGAACGGGUGAGUAACACGUGGGCAACCUGCCCCCGGCUCUGGGAUAA